UAUAGCUCAAUGGCAUAAGUGCCUGCCUGACAAGCAGAAGGUCCUGGGUUCAAUUCCCAAUA
RNAcentral lists this transfer RNA (62 nucleotides) under Cavia porcellus (domestic guinea pig). It matches the Rfam family "tRNA", at positions 6 to 65 of the family's 71-position model. Rfam says of the family: Transfer RNA (tRNA) molecules are approximately 80 nucleotides in length. Their secondary structure includes four short double-helical elements and three loops (D, anti-codon, and T loops). The record is from Rfam by way of RNAcentral. Lineage: Eukaryota; Metazoa; Chordata; Mammalia; Rodentia; Caviidae.